ACUCCUGCGGGAGGCAGCAGUGGGGAAUAUUGCACAAUGGGCGCAAGCCUGAUGCAGCCAUGCCGCGUGUAUGAAGAAGGCCUUCGGGUUGUAAAGUACUUUCAGCGGGGAGGAAGGCGAUAAGGUUAAUAACCUUGUUGAUUGACGUUACCCGCAGAAGAAGCACCGGCUAACUCCGUGCCAGCAGCCGCGGUAAUACGGAGGGUGCAAGCGUUAAUCGGAAUUACUGGGCGUAAAGCGCACGCAGGCGGUCUGUCAAGUCGGAUGUGAAAUCCCCGGGCUCAACCUGGGAACUGCAUUCGAAACUGGCAGGCUAGAGUCUUGUAGAGGGGGGUAGAAUUCCAGGUGUAGCGGUGAAAUGCGUAGAGAUCUGGAGGAAUACCGGUGGCGAAGGCGGCCCCCUGGACAAAGACUGACGCUCAGGUGCGAAAGCGUGGGGAGCAAACAGGAUUAGAAACCCCUGUAGUCCCA
Molecule: ribosomal RNA, 471 nt
Filed under: uncultured organism
Description: partial 16S ribosomal RNA
Rfam family: Bacterial small subunit ribosomal RNA
Source: RNAcentral